CAGUCAGGGGCAGCAGCAGGGGAGGAGGUGCACAUGUGAUGGCAGCCCCCACCCCGGCAUCCACAACAGGGGAGGCGAGGGGGCCUCAGAGAGGCCCUAGGAGUACAUGCAGUGACAGUGUUGCGAGAUAUAUCCAUCUCAAAAAGGAAAAGCUUCAUAUAGUAAAAUCUGAUUACAUUCUUAACAUUACAUGGACAUUAACGUAUAAGGCAAAGCUGUACAGAACUGCUGGAAGAUACUGGAGUUAAGUACUGGAAGAAACUUAUUGCAUUUUGCAACUACGACUAAUGAUGUAAUCUCCAAGAAGGGACCAAUCUGCACAACAGAAGGGUGAGUGAUCUAGAAUGAACUACACCUGCUUUCAAACCAUC
Mauremys reevesii (Reeves's turtle) is the source of this 371-nucleotide long non-coding RNA. RefSeq lists it as uncharacterized. The record is from RefSeq and is a predicted model, not a curated record. NCBI's taxonomy places the organism in Eukaryota, Metazoa, Chordata, Testudines, Geoemydidae. The transcript has 3 exons.